This 116-nucleotide microRNA precursor is filed under the name Loxodonta africana (African savanna elephant). Its description in RNAcentral is "miRNA (ENSLAFG00000023572.1)". Lineage: Eukaryota; Metazoa; Chordata; Mammalia; Proboscidea; Elephantidae. The record is from RNAcentral.
AGACUGGUUAAUGAUAACAAUGCAUCAUAAAACCUUCAGAAGGAAAGAAGUGUUUUGUGGACCAUUUGUUUCUUUUUUUGUGUGGCAGUUUUAAAUUAUUAGUUUUUAAAAUCAGU